GUUUUUGAAUGCUAUAAGUUUCUUAUGGUUUACCUCCAUGCUUUGUUUCUAGUUGUUUCAAAUGAAGACUUUUGCAAACUCGUUAAGUCUAAGAAAAUGUUAUAGUGAAAAGUGUUGAAAUUCGUAUUUGUUUUUUUUCAUGAACUUCAUGUUAAUUUCACAGAGUGCAAUCAAAUUAUAAGAACACUUAAACAAUAAGGCAAGUACAUUGAUUUGUACGAUUAAUGACAAGAUUUGCAAUCAAUAUGAAAUAUGGUCAAAUGCUGAAUUUAAAACAUCUAUAAACAAACUAAUGUACUUAUUUCCCAAUUUACACUUUAAAGUAUCGGUAUUUAGCAGUAAUUAUUAAUCGGAAUAAAUAUUAUGACUCAUCAUGUAAGGAUCAAAAUACGUUGACAGAUGCUGUAACUCAUAUGUAUGUAGUCAUUGAAUAAAAAUAAUCCAACAUGAUAUUUCGGAAUAUGCAUUGCAUAUAUGAGGCAUACACGUGAGCUAAUCAUAAUAGAUGUUUAUUUUAUUCCUUUACAGGCUGAACUAGAGUGGUGGCAUAUGAAUCAAUUGUGAAACAAAACUUAAUUUCAGAUUGAAAGGUACGCAUAAAGUGUUGAUUAUAUAAUGGUAACAUUUAGCUCAUUGAUAGGAAAAAUAUAUGGUAGUUAUUUUCUGAAAUAAACUAAAACAUAUGCAAAAGUGCAUAUUUGCAUACACUAUUUUAAGUACACUUAUAUCCAUUUGUAAAUAUGGGUAAUUAUUCUGCGGAAAUAAGAUAUGAUUGAGUUAUUUCACUUAUGGGUACUAUAUUUGAAUAUAACUUCGUUUGCCUGAAGCUUUACUGUCAAACAACAUGUGUGAAGUCUUUUCCCCAGAAAACGAAAAAUCACAAAAUUUGUUUUUGUAUGUAAUUCCUUUUUGCGAAAUGGUACUUGAUUGAAACAUGUACAUGUAUACUACAAAUGUUUUAGUCUUACUGAAAGGCGUACAGUUCUAUAAAAUGUAGUUAUUAAAUCCAAUUGCCGCACAUAUAAUACUUUGCAUUAAGAUUUUGAUGGAUAAUCGUGUUAAUAUGUGUUGGUCAAAUCAUCUCAUGUCUACGAGAACUAACAUUACUACUUUUGAACAAUUUGUGUACAAUCUAUAUAAACUUGUUACGCUUAUCUAAUACUACGAAAAUGACAAUAUCAUUGUAUAUCAUAUAUGUUUUAUUUUUUAUUUUAGGUCUCUCUGACUGAUUUCAACGCUGCAAAAUGGGGUUUAUAAAUCCAUUGAAGUAUACGAAAGACAUUUCAAAGAAUUGAAAUCGACUAAAUCAAUUUGAAAACAAAAAGAAAUGUAUUAAUGUGAUAAGAAUAGCACGUUAACAUGUUUAAUUAUAAUGCAGAUUAAUUGAAGUUGAGUGAAUUAUACAACCAUAAAGAAUGGGAAUAUGUAUCCACACACUUAAGUGGACAGUUAUUUUAAAUAUCAUGAAUAUUACGCCAAAAGAUAAUUCACUGGCUAGAAAAUCUGCUGAUAUACAGUACUUUCCGCGAGGAUUAUCCGAAAGAAAAUUCGAGGAUUUAACGAUGUACAAUUCCUUUCCGGAGGAUUAACGAGUCCGGUCAAGCAUAUGCAUUUCAAGUAUUUGAAAACCGAUAAGAUGGAUUGUUGUCAAGGACACAACAACUAAGAACGAAAAAGCAUGCUAGGAUUGUUUGUUGACUGUCCCUUUGGUAUCUUUCGUCCCUCUUUUAAGAACAUGUUAGUAGUAAUUCAAUUUUAUAAAACAAACAUUGUCAAAGAUAAAUACAUAAAGAUAAUCAAACAUAAGUAAAUAAACUCAUCAUAGAUACCAGGAUCAAAAUUUUAUAUUUACGCCAGACGCGCGUUUCGUCUAAAAAAAAGACUCAUCAAUGACGCUCGAAUAAAAAAAAAAUGUUUAAAGGCCAAAUAGAGUACAAAGUAAAAGAGCAAAUUAGUUUAAAAAACAAAAACAAUACUUCUCUUUAUCAAUUUAACUUCUUGCGACCGAUAAUUUGAUUGUUUUAUUGAAUCACAAAAAUCGCAGAGGUCCAUGGCACGUCACGUCUAAAAUAUUGUUUUUCGAAUUCUCAAUCUGUAUAUUUUGCACUUUUCUACUAUAAGAUGCACAUUGUUAGGUAUCAUUGAAGAUUAAAUAUGUUAAAAAUUGUUAUUUUCCGUUGUUUUCCUUUAAGGCAUCAUGUACACAAACUUGUUGAGUAACCACAUUUAUCUUUAUACUCCUACAAUUCAAAAUAGUGAAUGUAUAGUUAUCCGAUUGCUGUACAACUUUCAGAUAAAUUCGAGCUAUACAUUUUCUUGUUAUUUAAUCUGUACAUACUUUUGAAUGUAUUUAACAUAAAUAACUAAUUUUGAAAUAGCGUAAACUAUGCAAUAGAUGUUCUUUUACUAAGAUAGUAAAUGAAAUAGUUUGAAAAAACGUGUUGAUGAAAACAAAAUGAUUUAGCGAAUACCAUGGUUUAGUUUUUUUUUCUUUGCAAACGGUAGUGUUGAUAACAUUGCAAUCCAUAUACACACUAAAAUAUUAUAUAUGUUUUCUCUGAUGCACAUUCGAAAAAAUAUGUUAAAACGCCAAUGAAGAUGAUUUUCAUUUUCUUUUAAAAUGUCCUUCUCUAAAGAUAGAAGAUCACAACAUCGG
RNAcentral lists this long non-coding RNA (2656 nucleotides) under Mytilus galloprovincialis (Mediterranean mussel). Lineage: Eukaryota; Metazoa; Mollusca; Bivalvia; Mytilida; Mytilidae. The record is from RNAcentral.